RNAcentral lists this non-coding RNA (28 nucleotides) under Mus musculus (house mouse). The record is from RNAcentral. Lineage: Eukaryota; Metazoa; Chordata; Mammalia; Rodentia; Muridae.
UCGGAUUCUAACUGCUGCCAUCAACUGC